Molecule: long non-coding RNA, 773 nt
Filed under: Corvus moneduloides (New Caledonian crow)
Lineage: Eukaryota; Metazoa; Chordata; Aves; Passeriformes; Corvidae
Description: lncRNA (ENSCMUG00000017832.1)
Source: RNAcentral
GCAGCGCGGCUCUCGGGGGGCGGCCGGACCCGCCGGCGGACGAGGCGGGGGAGGGAGGGAGGGCGGGCUGAGGAGGCGGCGGCGGCGAUGCGAGCGGAGAGCUGAGGCUGCGGGAGGCGGCCGCCGUCGAACGCCCCCCGGCCCCCGCCGAGCGCCGCGGGGGAGGGCUCUCCCCUCCGGCCGCCCGCCCUCCCUCCCGCCCCGGCCCGCGUCCCCGCCGGGCGCUGUUGGAUGCCGCACACCGCCUAGAGGGGGCCGCAGCCCGGCGUCCUCCACAGCGGCCCCGGGCCCACCCCGGCCCUCCCGCCUCCCUGCCCCGCCGCCCGGGGCAGGAGCCAGGUCCUGCCUGCGUGCCCGGGUCGCCUGCGCCGACUGAGGAGGGGACGUGGAAGCUGCUGCCUCCGAUAUUGACACCGGUUUUGCAUCUUGAAGAUCUCCGGCAGGCUGCUCUUGGUGCUGCUGCUCUUUUUUUUUUUUUUUUCUUUUUCUUUCUUUUUUUUUUUAAAGUUGAUUUGAAGCCAUUUAGGGUAACAUCAAAAUGUCCAGCAGCGUUCCAGCUGAUAUGUUAAUCUCUUCACUUGCUGCCGGCUCAACAGCGAGAGAGAAAUCUUCAUGCGCUUUAUUUUCAUGGCGAGGUCCUUUGUGCACUAGCUGCAAUCUGGACAUUUUUCAAGGGCACUCCUAGUACUUCUUAUGGCGGACUGUACUUCAGCUUGUAUUGGAUACUCGGCUCGAUGCAUUUAAAAUAGGAAGAUAUAACAGAGCGUGAAGAG